UCGUAACAAGGUUUCCGUAGGUGAACCUGCGGAAGGAUCAUUAAUUAUGUUAAGCGCCUUACCUCUUAGGGUUUCCUCUGGGGUAAGUGAUUGCUUCUACACUGUGAAAAUUUGGCUGAGAGACUCAGACUGGUCAUGGGUAGACCUAUCUGGGGUUUGAUCGAUGCCACUCCUGGUUUCAGGAGCACCCUUCAUAAUAAACCUAGAAAUUCAGUAUUAUAAAGUUUAAUAAAAAACAACUUUUAACAAUGGAUCUCUUGGUUCUCGCAUCGAUGAAGAACGUAGCAAAGUGCGAUAACUAGUGUGAAUUGCAUAUUCAGUGAAUCAUCGAGUCUUUGAACGCAGCUUGCACUCUAUGGUUUUUCUAUAGAGUACGCCUGCUUCAGUAUCAUCACAAACCCACACAUAACAUUUGUUUAUGUGGUAAUGGGUCGCAUCGCUGUUUUAUUACAGUGAGCACCUAAAAUGUGUGUGAUUUUCUGUCUGGCUUGCUAGGCAGGAAUAUUACGCUGGUCUCAGGAUCUUUUUCUUUGGUUCGCCCAGGAAGUAAAGUACAAGAGUAUAAUCCAGCAACUUUCAAACUAUGAUCUGAAGUCAGGUGGGAUUACCCGCUGAACCUAAGCAUAUCA
This 629-nucleotide unclassified non-coding RNA is filed under the name Rhizopus arrhizus. RNAcentral describes it as "sequence contains 18S rRNA gene, ITS1, 5.8S rRNA gene, ITS2, 28S rRNA gene". The stretch from base 238 to 391 matches the Rfam family "5.8S ribosomal RNA". The record is from RNAcentral. Lineage: Eukaryota; Fungi; Mucoromycota; Mucoromycetes; Mucorales; Rhizopodaceae.